RNAcentral lists this ribosomal RNA (403 nucleotides) under uncultured bacterium. Its description in RNAcentral is "bacterial SSU rRNA". It matches the Rfam family "Bacterial small subunit ribosomal RNA", at positions 28 to 424 of the family's 1533-position model. The record is from RNAcentral.
GAUAAACGCUGGCGGCGUGCCUAAUGCAUGCAAGUCGCACGGGAGCGCCUUCGGGCGUCGACCGUGGCGGACGGGUGAGGAACACGUGGCUAACCUGCCCGGACCUGGGGGAUACCCGCCGGAAACGGCGACUAAUACCGCAUGGACUUGCCUGGGGGGACCGUGGGCGAAGGAAAGGUUGCAAGACCGGGUUGGAGGGGGCCGGCGGCCGAUUAGCUAGCUGGUGGGGGUAACGGGCCUACCAGGGCGGUGAUCGGAGCUGGUCUGAGAGGACGGCCAGCCACCACGGGGACGUGAGACACGGCCCCGACCUCCUACGGGAGGCAGCAGCAAGGAAUUUUCUUGCAAUGGGCGGCAAGCCUGACAGAGCAACGCCGCGUGGGGGAGUGACGCACUUCGGUGU